GUUUAAGACGAAGACGUUGAUAGGCUGGGUGUGUAAGCGUAGCGAUACGUUGAGCUAACCAGUACUAAUGAACCGUGAGGCUUAACCUG
RNAcentral lists this ribosomal RNA (89 nucleotides) under Providencia stuartii. RNAcentral describes it as "partial 23S ribosomal RNA". It matches the Rfam family "Bacterial large subunit ribosomal RNA", at positions 2837 to 2925 of the family's 2925-position model. Lineage: Bacteria; Pseudomonadati; Pseudomonadota; Gammaproteobacteria; Enterobacterales; Morganellaceae. The record is from RNAcentral.